This 1541-nucleotide long non-coding RNA is filed under the name Selaginella moellendorffii. RNAcentral's name for it is "long non-coding RNA (SMOE_LNC001686)". Lineage: Eukaryota; Viridiplantae; Streptophyta; Lycopodiopsida; Selaginellales; Selaginellaceae. The record is from RNAcentral.
UUUAGUCAACUCUUGCCCCAGUCAAACGAAUUCCAAGAGGAGAGAAAGAGAAAUCUAGGUCUUGCUCGCCCACCGCGUCGUGAAAUUUUGAUCUGGGCACUCCAACAAGAGGCGAAGAACACCACAUUGAAGGUACUCGCGCGUGAAUUCUUAGCUUGGAUUGUUCUGGCUUGAAUACAUAUCUUCCCAUCUCUACAAAACUUUGUUUUCCAGGUAGAUUCUCGUAGAAAGUACGCGCUUCGAAAGAAAUGGGCACGAAUUCUCUACGCUAAGAAACGUUAUCUACUUUUCUCCAUACGUAUCUCGUUCGUCUCCAUUUCUUUCCCAAUUUCCACUCGAGGUACGCUAUCCUUUGGUCAAAAGCUUCUUUUUUUUCCUUCUUCUUCCUCUUUUGUUCGUGCGUAAGCACUACGUAAGUGUGAUCGAGAGAUCUCUCGCAUGGUUUGGCAGUGAAUUCGUGUGCUUGUGUGUGUGUUGCUACCAUUGACGGUGGCUGUCGCUGUGGUCCCUCCUUCCACUUUGUCCUUUCUUCCACUCAGUGGAGAACAUCUCAUUCGUUUUCUGGCGAGAGCUAAAGUUGUGGAGAGAUAGCCUGUGCGUGUGUGUGUGUGAGUAUGUACUUCUGUUCCUCUUCCUGAGGCUGCCCCCUUUGUUUCUCAUUGUUUUUGCUCGUCCCCCUUUUCAACAGGCUCCGGGUUUCCAUCGUCGCUGCGCAAAAAUGGCUUCUUUUCGCAAGAUAGUGCUUGCAUCACUACUAUCAUGCUUGCUCCUCGCCGCUGUUGCCACUGAAACCGAAGGUAGAGCGAGCCUUUCUCUCUUUUGUUUUCUCCUUUUUUACUCUAGAACCGAUUGUGUUCCUGAUUCUUCCGUGGAAUUCUAGCAGAUGAGAGCUUGGUGGCUGCACAGGACCAGGUAAAUACUCUUGUUUUCUCUUUUUUCGUACUGUUCUUUAGCCGCGUGAUAGGAUCUCUCUUAACUUUCAUUCGUUCGUAUUGCAUGAUCUCACCCCCACUGUGUCUUCGCCUUUAGAGACUAGUAGAUGAGGUAAAAAUCUCUUUUUUUUGCUGCGUUUCGCCACUGUUCUUCGCGUAAUCUCCAGUUCUUAAAGCUCUUCGUUUUCGCCAAGUAACUUAUACUUCCUAUUCUUCAGGCUCUUAACUUCGAGCGUGGAUUCGCCAUGGAACAGAUGCUAUCACGGAUCCAGAGCAAAAAGCUUCGUCGCGAGAGAAACUUGGUCCACACAAACGACUACGCCGAUCCAUCGCCAAACACCGAUCCAAAGCGCGGCCCGCCAAAAUCCGGAUAAGUAUAGAACUCUUUUGGAAGCGCGUGUAAAUUUACUCUACACGGAUAUCAAGUCCAUGGUUGUUUUUAUACAUGGCUGACUCUUUGGCUUCCUCAAAGGAAGCAUAGUGUGGUUUUGCUGGCCAGCAUCAACAAUGAAUCUAUAAUAUACAAAUGGUUUGUGGCUUAUAAUGCUGGUAGAAUAGUGUUCUAUCAAUUUAUAAGCAGCAGCUUGCAGAGAGGCCAGCCACAAUAUA